UUGGGAAUGAAAACCUGCAGACGCUUGGCUCUCCACAGCAGCAGUUUGACACCCGUGCUUUAGUCAGGGGACAAUUUUAUGAUUGGGGGUUUAUUUUAUGAAUCGGUCUUUUACAUUUGUGGAAUGCACCGGGCAGCAUUGGUGGCUCAUAAAUGGCAUUGAGAGGUGUUUGAGCAGAAGCAGUCCUCAUCACCGGCACCAAGACAGCAACAGCGAUCAGCCAGAGAAGUGGACGGGUGUGUGAGAAAAAGUUCAACAAUAUCAGCCUUCACGUGUCUUCUCCCUAGGGAAGAUGAUUCUGUCGCCGGGGAUCGGUGGAGUCGAGACGACGACGACGGCGGCGGAAACAGAGAGGAGACGCUCGAAUCAGCGCACAAAGAAAGAAAAAAGAAAAUAAAGAAAGACAUAUGAAAGCACUGUGUAUCAGCAAAUAUGCAUAAUUCUCAUUUCAUCGCUGUACAGCCAGUCCACGACUUUCCCCGCUUUGGGAUCCACGUGGGGACAAAGAAAGGCCAUGUGGGGAAACAGUGAGUCGAGGGGCUCGGGGGUCCGGAGCCCACCUGGAGGAAAAACGUCCAAGGAGAGUCCGAGGAGAAACUCCAACUUAAUUUUUCUUUCUUUCCGCUGUUUCUCCUGCGUUCGUCAGAUGUUUGUGCUCGGCGCUCAAGCUGCGAAACCCCUGCGCCGAUGCCAAAACGACGACAUCGGACAGAAAAACCCAGCUGAUUAAAACUCAGAGGAUAUUGCUUUGAGGUUCUGCGGCGGGGCAACCCCCUCUGUUUUUAUUUAUUUACUUAUUUAUUUUUUUUGGAAAGGAGGGGUUUACAGAACAUUUGGUUUUACAGAAUGAGCCGUCUCUUCUGGUUUCGGACAGGGAAGCCUUUCAGAAUGGCCGCCUGUCAAGCAGGAGAUGGGACGGCGGGCGUGGCGGGUGAAGGGCAUGACGGGAAGAGAGAGAGAGAGAUGACGUCGACGGCGAAAAGGGGGAGAAUUUGUUUUCCGAUACCUCGGCGAAUGCACGUUUUAAAUAUUUGUCAUUUUCCGGCCUUGCUGACGCGUUGAACGUGUGCGCAGGAUGCUACAACGGUAUAUUUCAGGAGCACUUAACGUCUUAUUUACACCAUAGAUCAUCUAAUGUAUUCCUCUUUCACGACAUAUAAUCCAAACCGUGACCAAACGAGAGACUGACAGACUCGCCUUAGCCUGAACAACACAUCACAGACCAGGUCAAAGCAAAAAAAGGGGAAGUGGCGCAUGAUUCUCGGUACUUUUUUUUUUUUUUUUCCCUCAGAGUGCAAAUGUUAUUGAAAGCUACAUUGCCCAAAAAAA
Molecule: long non-coding RNA, 1329 nt
Organism: Myripristis murdjan (pinecone soldierfish)
Lineage: Eukaryota; Metazoa; Chordata; Actinopteri; Holocentriformes; Holocentridae
Exons: 3
Source: RefSeq, a predicted model, not a curated record